GGACGAACGGCUGGCGGCCGUGCCUAAUACAUGCAAGUCGAACGGUCUUUCUAUGGAAGCUUGCUUCCACUGAGAAGAUAGUGGGCGAAACGGGUGAGUAACAACGUGGGUAACCUGCCCAUAAGAGGGGGAUAACAUCCGGAAACGGGUGCUAAUACCGCAUAGUUUCUUGAUCGCAUGAUCGGGAAGGAAAGACGGCCUUUGUGCUGUCGCUUAUGGAUGGACCCGCGGCGUAUUAGUUAGUUGGUGAGGUAACGGCUCACCAAGACGAUGAUACGUAGCCGACCUGAGAGGGUGAUCGGCCACAUUGGGACUGAGACACGGCCCAAACUCCUACGGGAGGCAGCAGUAGGGAAUCUUCCGCAAUGGACGAAAGUCUGACGGAGCAACGCCGCGUGAGUGAAGAAAAGGUUUUCGGAUCGUAAAACUCUGUUGUCAGAGAAGAACAAGUUGGAGAGUAACUGCUCCAGCCUUGACGGUAUCUGACCAGAAAGCCACGGCUAACUACGUGCCAGCCGCUGC
This 522-nucleotide ribosomal RNA is filed under the name uncultured bacterium. RNAcentral describes it as "bacterial SSU rRNA". It matches the Rfam family "Bacterial small subunit ribosomal RNA", at positions 35 to 518 of the family's 1533-position model. The record is from RNAcentral.